RNAcentral lists this ribosomal RNA (460 nucleotides) under uncultured bacterium. RNAcentral's name for it is "partial 16S ribosomal RNA". It matches the Rfam family "Bacterial small subunit ribosomal RNA", at positions 338 to 795 of the family's 1533-position model. The record is from RNAcentral.
CCUACGGGAGGCAGCAGUGAGGAAUAUUGGUCAAUGGACGCAAGUCUGAACCAGCCAUGCCGCGUGAAGGAAGACUGCCCUAUGGGUUGUAAACUUCUUUUUUAUGGGGAUAAAACCGGGUAUGCUUACCCGAUUGUAUGUACCUUAGGAAUAAGGAUCGGCUAACUCCGUGCCAGCAGCCGCGGUAAUACGGAGGAUCCAAGCGUUAUCCGGAUUUAUUGGGUUUAAAGGGAGCGUAGGUGGUUUGUUAAGUAAGUGGUGAAAGCUCGCGGCUCAACGGGAGAAGUGCAUUUGAUACUGGCAGGCUUGAGUGCAGUUGAGGUGGGCGGAAUGUGUGGUGUAGCGGUGAAAUGCAUAGAUAUCACACAGAACACCGAUUGCGAAGGCAGCUCACGAAACUGCGACUGACGCUGAUGCACGAAAGCGUGGGUAUCAAACAGGAUUAGAUACCCUGGUAGUC